UAGGGAAUCUUCGGCAAUGGGGGCAACCCUGACCGAGCAACGCCGCGUGAGUGAUGAAGGUUUUCGGAUCGUAAAGCUCUGUUGUAAGAGAAGAACGUGUGUGAGAGUGGAAAGUUCACACAGUGACGGUAACUUACCAGAAAGGGACGGCUAACUACGUGCCAGCAGCCGCGGUAAUACGUAGGUCCCGAGCGUUGUCCGGAUUUAUUGGGCGUAAAGCGAGCGCAGGCGGUUUAAUAAGUCUGAAGUUAAAGGCAGUGGCUUAACCAUUGUUCGCUGUGGAAACUGUUAAACUUGAGUGCAGAAGGGGAGAGUGGAAUUCCAUGGGUAGCGGUGAAAUGCGUAGAUAUAUGGAGGAACACCGGUGGCGAAAGCGGCUCUCUGGUCUGUAACUGACGCUGAGGCUCGAAAGCGUGGGGAGCAAACAGG
RNAcentral lists this ribosomal RNA (429 nucleotides) under bacterium. Its description in RNAcentral is "partial 16S ribosomal RNA". It matches the Rfam family "Bacterial small subunit ribosomal RNA", at positions 355 to 776 of the family's 1533-position model. The record is from RNAcentral.